CAGGCGUCGAGCGGCGGACGGGUGAGUAAUACAUAGGAAUCUACCCAACUGUGGGGGAUAACUUGGGGAAACUCAAGCUAAUACCGCAUAAUCUCCAUGGAGCAAAGCGGGGGAUCUUCGGACCUCGCGCAGAUGGAUGAGCCUAUGUCUGAUUAGCUAGUUGGUGGGGUAAUGGCCUACCAAGGCGACGAUCAGUAGCUGGUCUGAGAGGAUGAUCAGCCACACCGGGACUGAGACACGGCCCGGACUCC
Molecule: ribosomal RNA, 251 nt
Filed under: uncultured bacterium
Lineage: Bacteria
Description: partial 16S ribosomal RNA
Rfam family: Bacterial small subunit ribosomal RNA
Source: RNAcentral